This 20840-nucleotide long non-coding RNA is filed under the name Medicago truncatula (barrel medic). RNAcentral's name for it is "long non-coding RNA (MTRU_LNC004376)". The record is from RNAcentral. Lineage: Eukaryota; Viridiplantae; Streptophyta; Magnoliopsida; Fabales; Fabaceae.
GACCUGAUGUAAUUUUUUAUGGAGGAUGUUUGUGCUGCAUAUAUUGUUUGAAUUCGAUUAUUUCAUUACUGUACAUUUAGAUGCAUGCAUUAGAUUAUAGAAUGAACACCAUUUUAGAAGUACAUGUAAAUUAUGGAGGCCAACCUUGGAUAAUGUAUAUUUGAAUGUUUUAUCUAAAUGUGUUCUGAAAAAGCCAAUAUCAGGAACUUUGAUCUUGCUAACUUUUGUUGUUCAAUGAUUGUUAUUGCACCAAUAUUUCUUAUGCUAAACUGACAGAAACUAUAUUUCUUAUGCUAACUUACAUGAGGAUAGAUGCACCAAUAUUUGUUUUCCAACAGGAACAGAGGGGAUUCCAGAUUGGUUAAAGCACCAAAUCACGGGACACAAUUUUUUUCUGGUUUCGUAAAUAAAUCCCUUCUAUAACUAGUAUUAUUAUUCCCUUUCUGGAUCCGUCCGAUUCAAAUGAGAAAGUAGUCAAUUUGUCUGUCAAAGGCUAUGAAAAAGUAGUCUGGAUUAAAUGAUGUGAUCUGAAGCUGUCACUAGCAGAGUGCAGUAACAGUAAACUAUGGCCAACACUGCAGAGUGCAGUGUGGCAUGACUAGAAGAGAGAGGAGUCAAGGAAAAGUUAUUUCUGUUAUUCACUCGGAACCAUUAGUACUUUCAAAAUUCUACAGAUCUAAAAUAUAAGCCAGACCAUAUGCAUUAUACAGAAUAGAACUCUCAUUUUAUCGGAUGAAAUUUUUCGGUAUCCACAUAUGAUGCAUGUCCUGAGCAAACCUGCAUUCUUUUUUUUUUUUAAUGCAAAAUAAUCACUAACAUAUCCACUUGUUGAUUUGUUGCAAAUAGCUUAAAGUGGUUCUGUAAUAAAGUGAUUUAUCGUCACAUAAACAAGUGACUUAGAAGUGUUUCCUUUGAAUACUCGUGCUGCUGCAUAAUGAUUCUAAUUUUACCAAGCUUAAGUGUUUUAGACCUGAGUUGCACACACACAACAAGCACAAGCAAGUCACUUUAUUUCUGUGUAACGAGUAACUAAGCAGGUCAUGAAGUUGUUACGAGGAACACAACUUAGAUUUUAGAUCUUGAAUACUUGUAAGAGGCAUGAUUCUAUUUGCUGCACAGUUGCUGAUUUUGUAGUUUUAGAUGUGGAUUUUAUCUUGAAUUUUGGUUUAAAGUGUUUAUAGAAUUUUACAAAUACAAACUUCAUAGCCACUGUAUCAAUAAUUAGUAAUCUUUUUGGUGGGAGUGAUCUGGUAAAUUUUGAUACAACAACUUUGAUAGCCUUUGUAUCAGUAAUUAGUAACGGUGUAACAGAGAAAUUUUUUGGCUAUUCUCGAAAUGAGCGGAGACAGCAAUUUAAGGGAAACUUUGACUUUGUGAUCGCUUAAGUGAGUUAUCAUUUUUUUUCUUUGCCACCUGCUAUGUGUUUUUUGAACUUUUGCAUAUUCUUGUCCUUCCUAUGAAUUAACUUUAAUAACCUAAAGUUAUAUGGUGUUUUAGUUAACUAUGAAAAUUGAAUAUUUGCAUUGUAUGUAGUGUUUAUAAUCUAUUCUGGUUUUUAUCUGAGUCAAAUGAAUUGACAAAAGCUUUCCUCAAUUUUUUUCGCUAGAUCAGGCCUGAACUUCAAUAUCCAAUCCAUCUGGAAUUUGGUAGAGUCCUAUGUGGGAAGAAUGGCAUAAUUAUCUUUCAGAAUGUAAGCUGGUACUGAUGCUUGGAUCGAUGUCCCUCUCUACUACUGAACAUAGACCAAGGGCCUUAACUGGCAAUUAGUUACACACAUUCAUGGAAACAAGGGUUGAAGCAUUCGCUCGCAAGCAACUCAGGUAAUAGAAUUUAAUUUUUAAUUAAAUGGGUUUGCCAUGAUCAUUCAUCAAAAUUCAAUUGCAUAAAGAUAUAAGCAAAUAUAUUCAAUUGCAUAAUUCUUUUACACAUUAUAAAAGAAGACAAACUAUGCAGUGGGGUCACUAUCACCGUAGUUUUUGGUUGAAGUCAUAUGUUGUUUACUUGUUGGUUUUUCAAGUUCUGACAUGAUAUUAUUUUUCUUCCCAUUUCCAGCUGAACUACUUUACGUGCUUCAAUUUUUUUCAAUCACUGCUAAAUUUUAGUGGAUAAGAAACAAAUGAAUCUAAAAAAUUUACGAUCAACCAAAUUCUGUUUGGAGGUGAAUGUUUCUUCAUAAUCUAACUUUGUAAAUGAAUUUUAAGUGAUUUGAAAACAUGGAAUAAGGUCUUCAAUAAAUAAAUAUGUAUCAGGUGCUUUUGGUUCAGUUUUAGACUUUUAGAUGGUAGGGAUCGUGCUUUUGGUUUGAUUUACAAUUAUUGUUUCUUGUACUGCUAUUGUGUAGGUCAGUGUUUUGUACUUUUUUUUUUGUUCCUUAUCUAAGUUUCUAUGGUCGGUCUUUUCGACUAUAAUGGAAUAAUACAUGUUAUGCUACUGCAAUGUAGUUAUUGCUUCUAGCAUGGCAUUUACUAGGCUGAUUUGGUCUUUUCGAACUCAUCCAAGGACUGCAGGAUUUGGAGGACUUGAUCGGAAUUAUGACAAAGCUUUUCAAUUUGGAUUUUAUGGAAGUAUAGGUUGGUCAAAUAUCCUUCAUGCAGAAAUUCAGGAUCUCCUUGUUGGUCUCAAGUUGUGGUGGAAAGCCCGGAAGUUUAUAUGCUAUUAUGAUUCUCUUCACGUGGUGCAGUUAGGUUCAAUGAACACUCAUCACUUUCACCAUUAUGCCAAUAUGUUGGAGAUUUAUCAGAGCUUACAUGAAGAAAGAUUGGAAUUUUUCUCUCCAUCAGACUUUUCCCGAGGGCAAUGCUUGAGCAGAUAUUCUAGCGAAAUUGGGAGUUAGUUGUAUAGAUACCUUGGUUACGGUCUACAUGCUGCCGCAGUUCUUCUCCUCGGCUUUGUUAGUUAAAAUUGUUGGAAUGUCCUUUAUUAGGACUUAGUAACCAAAAAGAAAAGGUUGAUGGAAAAACUUAAAUGGAUUUGUUGAAACCACCACAACCCUUUAUGUUGAUACCUUGCAUUCUCAUGUUACUAUGCCUCCAUUCCCCGAGUAAUACAGUGACUUCAAUCAAAUCCCAUAUAUAUAUUUUAAUCUUAUGGUCUCCUUUUUAAUAUGAUUGUCAAAUAAGAGGUUAAUGCAGAAAGUGAAUAUAGUUAGUUUGUGGUUCUAAUUGUGUUUUACCUCUUUAUAUCAAAUUGGUGCAAUUUUUACUUUCUAUGCUUUGGUUAGAUGUUAAUUAAUAUAUUUAUUUUGCCUCUUCAAAACAAACAAAAUCUAGAAAAGAGAAUUGUAAUGAAACAUUUUACCUCUAAGCAUUAUGUCCAAAAAGUGUUACAAACUUGAAUCAAAAAAGAAAAUAUUUUACAAUCAAACUACAAUUCAUUAUGUAUCAAUUUUACAAACCAAGUAAUGAGAUGGAGGGAGAGGAGAGUCCCUGCAACCAUAGGCGACCACAUCAGUGUCAUCAUCCACUACUGUCGGUGCUUGAGUUCCACUGUGUCUCCAUCAUAUUUGUGAGAGUUAACUUAAAAUCAGAAUUCUGGAGAAUCGUGCCACGAUGGAGAAGCUUCGUGCCACGAUUGUUGAAGCAAAAUUCUGGAGCAAUCACUUUAAAAUUCGUGUCACGAUUGUAUCGUAUCGUGUUACGAUGGUGCGAUUGAAGAUAAAAAUAAAACGUAUUUUUAUUGAAGAUUUGUUUCAGUUUUUUAAGGGAUUACUUUCACUAUAAAUAUAGACCUUGUAUCACAGUAUUUCUUGGAGAGAGAUAGAGGGGGCUGAAACAAGGGUUUAGAAUGGCAACAACAAAACUAGAGUUUGUAUAGAGUUUGUCUCUUUGGAAACACUAGGGUUUGAGGGUUGAUUCACCUUGGGAAACACUAUUAGGAUUGAGUCUCUUGGUUACGGGAAGAGGCUGGGACUUUGGGUAGAAUUAGGCGGGAGACUUAUUCUUGUAACCCAUUGACUUCUCUUUGUAACGUUACUCGUUAUAUAGUGGAUCGGAGGGCUGCUCUCUCCCCAGACUAGGUCAAUUUGGACCGAACUGGGUCAACAAAUUAUUUUGUGUUCUCUAUUCUUUUGUUCUUCUUGCUGUUGUUUUCUACUUUUGGCAUGUGAUUAUAACUGUUCCAUACGCUUUGAUUUUGGUUGCUUGACUAUCCCUUGCUCCACACAUCAAGUUGUUAUUGGUGUGAUUUUUCUCAUCGAAUUCACAACAAUAUUGUGUCGUUCAGUCAUCGCCGAUGUAAGAGAAACCAGGUGGUCGUUUUGUCGCCGGUAGUCCGCUGCUGCUAUUUUUCCCUCUCCUGAUUUCUCCCUUCCCCUCUCAUGUCUCACAUAUAAUCUUCCUCCAUCUCUUUUUCUGUCUGAUUGUUCGCAUAACAAUGCAACAAAACAUGAGAGUUGGCAAGAGUAUAAUCCAUGCAGCCAGAAUGAGAACAAUGCUGCUAUAACAUGUUAAAGUUACCAAACAUGUCAUAAGAAUUGGAACCAAUAAAUGUCAUGCUUAAUAUCAUUGAUAGCAGUGUGUUUUACUUCAACAAAAAAAAAAAAAAUGAACUCUCACAUAGAAGGCUGUGUGAUAGCAGUGUGUCACAAGCAUUACUUGGAACAAUUAGGAUCAUAUAUGUUGGAUCUAUAAUGCUGGAAAAAAGAAGGCAACUUUCUGAGAGUGUGUGCACGUGCGCACUUGUCGUGGAAGAUCAAAUUGAUAAUUGUAAGUGUUGUGAAUUCGAUGAAAAAUCACACCAAUAACAACUUGAUGUGUGGAGCAAGGGAUAAUUAAGCAACCAAAACAAAGCGUAUGGAACAAUUAAAUACAAGCCAAAAAGUAGAAAACAACUGCGAGAAGAACAAAAGAAGAAGAAGAAGAACACAAAGAAAUUUGUUGACCCAGUUCGGUCCAAAUUGACCUAGUCUAGGGGAGAGAGCAGCCCUCCGAUCCACUAUUUGAUAAGUAACGUUACAAAGAGAAAUCAAUGGGUUACAAGAAUAAGUCUCCCGCCUAAUUCUACCUAAAGUCCCAAUCUCUUCCCGUAACCAAGAGACUCCAAUCCUAAUAGUGUUUCUCUCUAUCUCAAUCUCAAAGUUUGCUUUGAUACAAGGUCUAUAUUUAUAGUAAAAGUCCUGCUUAAAAUCUGUAACAAAUCUACUUUAAAUUUGUAACAAAUCUGUAACAAAAACUGUAACAAAUCUGCUCCCAAAAAUACGUUUUAUUUUUAUCCGCCAGCGCACCAUUGUGCCACGAUGAGACCCCAUCGUGCCACGAUUUUUCCAGUGCCUUGCCCAAAUAACUAAAACCUCCAUCGUGCCACGUUGCCUUGCCGUCGUGCCACGAUUCUACAGAAACCUGAUUUUAAGUUAACUCUCACAAUUCUCCACCUUGACUUCAAAUCAGUGAUGAUGCCGAUCAUCAACCUCCUUGCUGCUCAAACCCUUGCUUCCCACUACUCCAAGUAGCUCCACAAGUUUACACCCUCAACCUCUUCAGCCAUCGGAAUGUCUUCCUCCUUCUCGAAGAUGCUUGUAGUCCAACUACGCUAGGAAUUUCAGGUAGUUCUACAAGACUAUACCAUAACCUCUUUAAUACGAGACAUCUCCCGCUUUCCUUGAAGAUCUACUUGUACCCAAUCACCCUUGGCUUUUAGAGUAAUCCACAAGUAUACACCUCAACCCCUUCAGCCAUCGGAAUGUCUUCCGUCUUCUCGAAGGUCCUUGCAGUCCAACUACACUAGGAGUUUUAGGUAGUCCCACAAGCAUUCACCAUACCGUCUUCAACGCAGAACAUCUCCUGCUUCCUUGAAGAUCACCUUGCAUCCAAUCACUCUUGGCAUUCUUUUAGAGUAAUCCCGCAAGCUGUGCUACACAUUCUCCAACUUCAUGAAGAAAUCCCUUGCUCACCAUAGAGCAUAGCACCCAAGGUCUUCAUAGUCGUACCAUUACCGGUGUGUUCAACUCCACCUCACGCUGAGCGUACUCUACCUCAACUAGCAAAUGCGUACAUCCCACUGUCUUCAACCUUGAAACUUCACCUCAACAGGUAGAUCAUGAGUAUUCUUACCACCGCCUCUCCAGGCUGAUGUUGAGUGUUUAACGUCUCUCCAGACGACCACCGCUCCAGUAGGCAUCAAUCCCAAGGUGAGACACAUCACCUUCUUCAUCCUCCAAACAACACCACACCAUCAGAGCACCCGCAUCCUCAUAACCCUCAGAGAUAAUUUGUGCGGAGUUACCAUUAAUCUCCGGACAAUCCUUCUUGAAGUGACCCAUCUUGUGACAGUUGAAGCAUUCAAACCUUGACUUGUUUCCACUCUUUCUCCGGUUACCUCUACCUCCACCAUUCCCUCUUGUGACACUUAGGCCAUCACCGUGUUCAUGAGUCAAGUCCUUGGACUUGGUCAACUCCUUGGUUCUCAAAGCCGCUUGAACUUCUUCCAAGGUAAUAGUGCCUUCCUUGCCAUAGAGCAUGGUAUCUUUGAACGAUUCAAAAGAUUUCGGUAGAGCACACAACAAGAGUAUAGCUUUAUCCUCGUCCUCAAGUUGCACCUCAAUAUUCUCCAAGUCAUCUAGGAUUUUUUUGAACUCCGUAAGUUGCUCAAUGAUGGCCUUUGACUCUUCCAUCCUGAAUGAGUAGAGUCGUUGCUUUAGGAAUUGCUGAUGAGCCAAAGACUUUGUCAUAUACAAAGAUUCCAACUUUGCCCACAUCGAUGCCGCGGUUGCUUCCUUUGCUACUUCUAUCAAAACUUUAUCCCCGAGGCACAAGACAACGACACUCCUGGCCUUGUCCACCAUCUCGGUCUUCUCCGCUCGUGACAUGGUGACCGGUAACGAACCUUCACCCUUCAAAGCUUUCUCACACUUUUGUUGUAUUAACACCGCUUCCAUCUUUACCUUCCAUAACCCGAAAUCGUUAUCUCCGGUAAACUUCUCAAUAUCCUACUUUGAACCCAUGGUACUUGAUUAUCCUUUGACCCUUGCCCCACGGUGGGCGCCAAUUGUUGUGAAUUCGAUGAAAAAUCACACCAAUAACAACUUGAUGUGUGGAGCAAGGGAUAAUUAAGCAACCAAAACAAAGCGUAUGGAACAAUUAAAUACAAGCCAAAAAGUAGAAAACAACUGCGAGAAGAACAAAAGAAGAAGAAGAACACAAAGAAAUUUGUUGACCCAGUUCGGUCCAAAUUGACCUAGUCUAGGGGAGAGAGCAGCCCUCCGAUCCACUAUUUGAUGAGCAACGUUACAAAGAGAAAUCAAUGGGUUACAAGAAUAAGUCUCCCACCUAAUUCUACCUAAAGUCCCAAUCUCUUCCCGUAAGCAAGAGACUCCAAUCCUAAUAGUGUUUCUCUCUAUCUCAAUCUCAAAGUUUGCUUUGAUACAAGGUCUAUAUUUAUAGUAAAAGUCCUGCUUAAAAUCUGUAACAAAUCUGCUUUAAAUUUGUAACAAAUCUGUAACAAAAACGGUAACAAAUCUGCUCCCAAAAAUACGUUUUAUUUUUAUCCGCCAGCGCACCAUCGUGCCACGAUGAGACCCCAUCGUGCCACGAUUUUUCCAGUGCCUUGCCCAAAAAACUAAAACCUCCAUCAUGCCACGUUGCCUUGCCGUCGUGCCACGAUUCUGCAGAAACCUGAUUUUAAGUUAACUCUCACAGUAAGCGGAAGAAAUAUCUUCAUAAACAUUUAUCAGAUAAGAGAAAAUUGGGAAGGAACAAACACAUCAUAUUCUGUAAUGGCUACUUUUGAGCAGUUGUACGAAAUUCAAAAUAACUAUCCGACAUUCAUAAGUGAUGUUACGUUGAACUUAAGCUACUUAUGAAAUGGCAUUCUCGAGACCUAAGGGAUCGCAAUGCAUCUUUGAACUUUUUCGGAAGGAGUAAACAAUUGGAAACAUUUUAAAAUCAAGCAAAACAGAAAACCAAUAUUCUGUCACAAUCCUAGACAAUUUUAUCAUAAAAGACAAGUAGUGGCAGUGAUGCAGGCGAUAGUAUUUCAUCCAGUAAUCAUAGGAUAAAUGAGCAUUGCUGUAACACUAAGACUGAACAAAGAAAUCAAGACGAUGAUGCAGUCAAAGAUCAUACUAAAGAGCACAAAGCAUAUACAGCAAAUAGAACAAAAAAACACAGUCAAUAAAGAUUUGGUAUCAGCUGAUUAAAUGUGUUUCUAUGAAAAACAAAUUGUAUGAAAAUUGUAUUUCACGGUCAGGAUUUAGUUAAGAAUCCAAAUUCAUUCAAAAGAAAUUGAAGCUUCUAUAGGUUCAUCCUCAACUUUGAAUUUUGGAGGUUGCUGUUUAAUUUCCAUGAUAUUAUUGACUAUUGGUCAAACAUAAAAUAAAACUACAUUUUAAAUGACGGAAGUAGUAAGGAAGUUUCGUAGACAAUUUAUUUUUUGUUUAUUUAUUUAUUUAAGUUUUCUCGUUGUUUUAUUGUUUGAAUGGUAACCACAUUUAAGAUAUCAGCAAGAAGAGGUGGUAGUGCAACGAUAUCUACUCUGUGAUUGGUCCACACGCUAUAGGAUGUUGCAAGGAAGUUUCACUUACUACUUUUGUCAUUAGUUUUCUCCUUGUUUUAAAGAAUCCACCUAACAGACCACACAAAUUACUCAUUCAUAUUCUCCAUUUUCAAAGUCUUUUUUCAUCCAUAUUCUUUCAAUUCUCAUGGCUAUGCAAUCACCUUCCCGAGUGUUCCUCAGUUUCAGGGGCAGUGACACUCGCAACAAUUUUACCGGUAAUCUCUAUAAGGCUCUCAUUGACAAGGGAAUUUGUACUUUCAUUGAUGAUAAUGAUCUUGAAAGAGGAGAUGAAAUCACACCCAAACUUGUCAAGGCCAUGGAAGAAUCUAGGAUUUUUAUUCCCAUAUUUUCUGCCAACUAUGCAUCUUCUUCAUUUUGUUUGGACGAACUUGUCCACAUCAUUCACUGCUACAAGACAAAGAGUUGCUUAGUAUUGCCCGUUUUUUAUGAUGUGGAACCUACUCACAUACGACAUCAUAGUGGAAGUUAUGGUGAGCAUCUUACUAAGCAUGAAGGGAGAGGAGAGUCCCUGCAACCAUAGGCGACCACAUCAGUGUCAUCAUCCACUACUGUCGCGUGCUUGAGUUCCACCGUCUCUCCAUCAUAUUGUGUCGUUCAGUCAUCGCCGAUGCAAGAGAAACCAGGUGGUCGUUUUGUCGCCGGUAGUCCGCUGCUGCUAUUUUUCCCUCUCCUGAUUUCUCCCUUCCCCUCUCAUGUCUCACAUAUAAUCUUCCUCCAUCUCUUUUUCUGUCUGAUUGUUCGCAUAACAAUGCAACAAAACAUGAGAGUUGGCAAGAGUAUAAUCCAUGCAGCCAGAAUGAGAACAAUGCUGCUAUAACAUGUUAAAGUUACCAAACAUGUCAUAAGAAUUGGAACCAAUAAAUGUCAUGCUUAAUAUCAUUGAUAGCAGUGUGUUUUACUUCAACAAAAAAAAUAUGAACUCUCACAUAGAAGGCUGUGUGAUAUUGUAAAGUCCACUUGUAUGUAACUUGUCAUUGCUCAAUGAACAGAGCUUUGAGCGAUAAUUAUGUAGUACACAUUGUCACAAGCAUUACUUGGAACAAUUGGGAUCAUAUAUGUUGGAUCUAUAAUACUGGAAAAAAGAAGGCAACUUUCUGAGAGUGUGUGUGCACGUGCGCACUUGUCGUGGAAGAUCAAAUUGAUAAUUGUAAGCCGCAGAAAUAUCUUCAUAAACAUUUAUCAGAUAAGAGAAAAUUGGGAAGGAACAAACACAUCAUAUUCUGUAAUGGCUACUUUUGAGCACUUGUACGAAAUUCAAAAUAACUAUCCGACAUUCAUAAGUGAUGUUACGUUGAACUUAAGCUACUUAUGAAUUGGCAUUCUCGAUACCUAAGGGAUGGCAAUGCAUCUUUGAACUUUUUCGGAAGGAGAAAACAAUUAGAAACAUUUUAAAAUCAAGCAAAACAGAAAACCAAUAUUCUGUCACAAUCCUAGACAAUUUUAUCAUAAAAGACAAGUAGUGGCAGUGAUGCAGGCGAUAGUAUUUCAUCCAAUAAUCAUAGGAUAAAUGAGCGUUGCUGUAACACUAAAGAGCACAAAGCAUAUACAGCAAAUAGAACAAAAAAACACAGUCAAUAAAGAUUUGGUAUCAGCUGAUUAAAUGUGUCGCUAUGAAAAACAAAUUGUAUGAACAUUGUAUUUCACGGUAAGGAUUUAGGUAAGAAUCCAAAUUCAUUCAAAAUAAAUUGCAGCUUCUAUAGGUUCAUCCUCAACUUUGCGACCUUAAAAUGAAAUUUGUGUGAGAUAUAUGCACGCAAAAGAAAUUCGAAGAGAAUGUUCUUAAAUCACCAUAACUUAUAACUUGACAAAUAAAAAAAAGAGAUGUGACAUAAUGUUAUGUGUUUUGCUAAGGCAGUUUUUGUUUGUGAUUUUAUUAGAAUGUUUUAGUAUCUAGGGUGUCGUGCAGGAAGCGUGGUGGGGUCAAAUUCACAUCUAACUUACUGCUGAUCAGCAACGUCGUAAAGGCGAUCAUACAUUUUAUUGAUAUCCCAACAACCACAAUCAUAUACUUCUUUGUGAAAAAUAAGAAAAAUUUGCCUUGCUUCGAUAUUUGUACCGUAGUUUGUUUUAUCUCUUAUCUCAAUAUUUGUGUGUAAGCUGCAAUUUUCCAUAGCUUUCUUAGCUCUGUUAUUUGAUGAAAUUUUUUAUAGGGUCUAAAACUUGAAAUUUAAAACUUUUAUAGGGAUAUAAAACAUAUUUAACAUUUUUUUUAAACAUAAGGCUUUGAUAAUAUUUGCAUAUUUACUACUUGAGUUUUCAUGAUGCUGCUGGUUGAAUAGAAGACUGCAGCUGGUUGAUGCGACUGGGGCAUUGUGUUUUGAUACCAGACCUUCAUUUGACUUGGAAUUCCAAUGACAUAUUUGAUGUCACAUUUCUCUUUGCAUCCACACUACCGUCCCUAGCUAUUUGAAAACUUGGAUAAUGAUAUAUGUCGCGAAAAAAUUACUCGUGAUGGCAUCACGACUCCUAACAGCUGAAGUUCAUUUGCGAUGGUUUCGGGAACGUUUGCUUCGCAAUGAAUAGCACUGCUUUGAACUUUUAGGCAGCAUAUGACUUCGGUAAUGGUAUCAUUUUCCCUAAAUCUCAAAGAAGCUAGAAAUGAGGAUUUAAAAUAGUCCCACGUCGACCAGAAAAGUAAUAAGGUAUUGUUUAUAAACUUUGAUGUGUACCAUAUAUGUUACUUUGUUGAGGAAUGUGGAGAGUCUAAACGUGAUGUUACUCCAAGUUCUUCUUCUUCCAUUGUUUUUAAUGAAAGAAUUGAAUAUGUUACCGUUCCGUUCCUAUUUGAACUUUUAAAAUAGUCCCACGUCGACCCAAAAAGUAGUAAGAUGGUAUUUAUAAACUUUAAUGUGUACCAUACAUGUUACAUUGUUGAAGAAUUGAGAGUAACGUGGAUUUGGAUGUUAUCCUUAGUACUUCUGUAAUGGUUUUUAAUGAAUGAGUUGAACAUAUUUUUUAAAGUAUAACUUGGUUCCUUUUAUUUAAUUUCCAUAGUUUAUGAUGCAAGAUCGUUUUGUUAAUCUUUUUUUUUUGAACUAGAAGAUCGUUUUGUUUGUAAUCAUAUAAAAUAUUCUUCAACUUUUUAAAUUAUUGAAUUUUUUUUUUUUUUUAUGGAAGGUUAUUGAAUAAUUUUUGUGUACCACUAAUAUGUCUUCUCUCACCCAAUGCCCACUAUUUUUUCCAGCAAAACCUUCAUUGUGAGCAGGAAAAAAAAAAGCUUUCAUUCCUCCACAAGCUUAAUUAUAAUUAUUAUCUUGAAUCUUAAAAAAGAAACUCCAAAGUUCAUAUAAUUUGAAUUGGAACUAAAAUUUUCCUCAUGAAAAAUUGAUAAAGAGAUUUCAAUUCUGAUUCUCUAUUAGUAGCAAAGUUGUCAAAAUCAGGACUUUACUUCAGGUCGAAAGGAAAUAGCAAAAUUGGGACUCGUAAAAUCCCAAUCAAAAUCGAAUGAUUUUACUCAAUGACUUUUGUAGAAUCGAUAUUGGAAAUUGUAAAAUCGCAAUCAAAAUCGAUGGAUUUUACCAAAAAAUAAUAAUACUAACUAUAUGUUAUAAAUGGUAUAUAGUCAUAAAUAACUUAGUUUAUAAGAAAUCGUAAAAUGACAAUCAAAAUUGAUGGAUUUUGCUUAUUUUGGGAUUCUAUUAUGAAUUUGAGUCAUUGAAGGUGAAGAAAGUCGCAAAAUCCUAGAUUUUAAGAUUUAAGUCGGGAUUUUGACAACAAUACUUAGUAGUAUAUCUAACUUUCUAUUUUCCUAAUGAAUCCAUUUUCGGGUCAAUCCAAACCCAAUUUCAAUGAUGUGGAGUAAUGUAAAAUAUGGGGGCGUCGAUUGCAUGUUCCAAAUCAUCACUGUUCGCAGCGACACCACAACUCAUUGUCAAUAGAAGCUCGUCCUCUUCUCAUCCCCAUUGCAGCAGCGUUGCUGCAGACGUUCAUAUUUUGAAAGGUUUACUCAAACACACUAAACAUGGUAGAGGGUCUUUAUAUCUGUCAUGAGAAGUAAAACACAUCAAAGAUAAAAAAUAAAAAAUAAAAAUAAAAAAAGACAAGAAAUCCAGAAUUAAGAUAAAAGGAAAUCUUGAAAGACAACCACGAAUCUCGAAAAAUGGAAAGAAUUUUUUUAAGAACCACCGACAAUUUUCUUUAUUUUGCGUUUGGAAGAAGAAGAAGAUGAUGGGAAUGGUAAAAAGAACCCUAAUAUAAAGAGUAAGGAUUGGAUGGAGAAGACAUAAAUGUUACUUUUUUUUUUAUUUCCAACAAAUCUCGUCCUUUAAUUUACUUGUUAGUCCAAUGGUGUGAUAUAUUAGGGGUACACCAGUGACUUGCUUAAUUUCAACCUAUUUUUUAGCUGUACUUGUAGUUUAAUUGGUGAUAUAUUCAUCUGUCAAAGGAAGUAUGCAAAAGAGAUGUUAAAGAAAUUCAAUAUGGAUUACUGUAAAAGCAUGAGCACUCCUACGUGUCCAAAGGAGAAGCUAUGCAAGGAUGUUGAAGAAGAACAAGUGGGUGAAACACUUUACGGAAGUUUAAUUGGCUGCUUAAUGUAUCUUACAACUACAAGACCAGAUAUUUUAUAUGCUGUAAAUGUUCUUUCAAGAUUCAUGAAUUGUGCUAAAGAAUCUCAUUUCAAAGGAGCAAAAAGAGUGUUGAGGUAUGUCAAGGGAACCUUAAAUUAUGGCAUUAAGUUCUGUCGAUCGGAAAAAUUCAAGUUGCAAGGUUACUCUGAUAGUGAUUGGGCAGGAUCUUUAGAUGACAUGAAAAGCACUUCAGGCUACUGUUUUAGUUCUGGGAUAGGGAUAUUCUCUUGGAGUUCAAAAAAACAAGAAAUUGUUGCACAAUCAACAGCUGAAGCAGAGUUUAUUGCAGCCACAGCAGCUGUUAAUCAGGCCUUGUGGCUAAGAAAAGUUCUAACUGAUUUGCACUUAGAGCAAAAGGAAACUACUGAGGUAAUGGUGAACAACCAGGCAGCCAUUGCCAUCUCCAAAAAUCCUGUUUUUCAUGGUAAAACAAAGCAUUUUAGUAUUAAAUUAUUUUUCCUCAGAGAUGUUCAAAAGGAUGGUGAUGUGUGUUUGAAGUACUGCAAGACUGAAGACCAUUUGUCAGAUAUCUUUACAAAAGCUCUUCCAAAAGGCAGGUUUGAGUUAAGGGAGAAACUUGGAAUAUCCAACUACUGAUACAAGGAGGAGUGUUGAACGUGUGUAUCAGCAGUUGUUACUGCCAGCUGCACUGAUUGACCAAGUCUUUAGGAGAAUUUGUUUUAAUAUUUCAGUUUUUAAUUAGCUAAUAAAGUAGUGGCUAAAGAUUAGGAGUUAGUUACUCAUUAUUUGUUUUUAUUUAAGUCACAGCUUUGUAUUUUGACAGUAGUUUUUCAUUCAAUAAAGCUUAGUUUUUCCUUCCUAUUUUAUGAGUUACGUAUAAACACCAAACAGUAUUUCAUCCAGUAAUCAUAGGAUAAAUGAGCAUUGCUGUAACACUCAGACUGAACAAAGAAAUCAAGAAGAUGAUGCAGUCAAAGAUCAUACUAAAGAGCACAAAGCAUAUACAGCAAAUAGAACAAAAAAACACAGUCAAUAAAGAUUUGGUAUCAGCUGAUUAAAUGUGUUUCUAUGAAAAACAAAUUGUAUGAAAAUUUCACGGUAAGGAUUUAGUUAAGAAUCCAAAUUCAUUCAAAAGAAGAGGUUGCUGUUUAAUUUCCAUGAUAUUAUUGACAAUUGGUCAAACAUAAAAUGUACAUUUUAAAUGACGGAAGUAGUAAGGAUGUUUCGUAGACAAUUUAUUUUUUGUUUAUUUAUUUAUUUAAGUUUUCUCGUUGUUUUAAAGAAGAGGUGGUAGUGCAACGAUAUCUACUCUGUGAUUGGUCCACACGGCUAUAGGAUGUUGCAAGGAAGUUUCACUUACUACUUUUGUCAUUAGUUUUCUCCUUGUUUUAAAGAAUCCACCUAACAGACCACACAAAUUACUCAUUCAUAUUCUCCAUUUUCAAAGUCUUUUUUCAUCCAUAUUCUUUCAAUUCUCAUGGCUAUGCAAUCACCUUCCAGAGUGUUCCUCAAUUUCAGGGGCAGUGACACUCGCAACAAUUUUACCGGUAAUCUCUAUAAGGCUCUUGUUGACAAGGGAAUUAAUACUUUCAUUGAUGAAAAUGAUCUUCAAAGAGGAGAUGAAAUCACAUCAUCACUUGUCAAGGCCAUCGAAGAAUCUGGGAUUUUUAUUCCCAUAUUUUCUGCCAACUAUGCAUCUUCUUCAUUUUGUUUGGACGAACUUGUCCACAUCAUUCACUGCUACAACACAAAGAGUUGCUUAGUAUUGCCCGUUUUCUAUGAUGUGGAACCUACUCACAUACGACAUCAGAGUGGGAGUUAUGGUGAGCAUCUUACUAAGCAUAAAGAGGGGUUCCAAAAUAACGAGAAAAACAUGGAGCGAUUGCGUCAAUGGAAGAUGGCUCUUACUCAAGCUGCUAACUUGUCCGGCUAUCAUUAUAGUCCUCAUGAGUACCCUACUUUACUUAAAUCUUGUUUUUUAUAUUUUAUUUCUUUAAUUUUUAUGCCUAAAUAAUCUACUCUUAAAGCUUAAACAUGGAGGGAUUUCUAUCAAUGGUUUUAAAACUAGUGUAAGUUAUUUAUAUGUCAAAAAAGUUAGAAUUGCAUAAUAUAUUAUCAAUACAUGGAUGUGAUUUUGAUUCUAGUGUAUGUUCUAACUUACCUUAUUGGACAUGAAUAGAUCUGAAUGCAAGUUUAUUGAGAAGAUAGUCGAAGGCAUCUCCAACAAGAUCAAUCAUGUUUUUUUAAACGUAGCCAAAUACCCUGUUGGAUUGCAGUCCCGAAUAGAACAAGUGAAAUUGCUUCUUGACAUGGGCUCUGAGAAUGAGGUCCGCAUGGUAGGAAUUUUUGGUACCGGAGGCAUGGGUAAAUCAACACUUGCAAAAGCAGUUUUUAAUUCUAUUGCUGAUCAAUUUGAAGGUGUAUGUUUUCUUCAUAAUGUCAGAGAGAAUUCAACUCUUAAGAACUUGAAACAUCUCCAGAAGAAGCUCCUUUCAAAAAUAGUUAAAUUUGACGGUCAGAUAGAAGAUGUUAGUGAGGGAAUACCAAUUAUAAAGGAAAGACUAUCUAGAAAGAAGAUUCUUUUGAUUCUUGACGAUGUUGACAAACUGGAGCAGCUAGACGCUUUGGCUGGAGGACUUGAUUGGUUCGGUCUUGGAAGCAGAGUCAUCAUUACCACUCGUGAUAAACGCUUACUAGCCUAUCAUGUGAAUACAAGUACACAUGCAGUAGAAGGGUUGAAUGAGACAGAAGCUCUUGAAUUAUUGAGCCGAAAUGCUUUUAAAAAUGACAAAGUUCCUUCAAGUUAUGAAGAUAUUUUAAACCGUGUAGUUACUUAUGCAUCUGGCCUUCCGUUAGCUAUAGUAACAAUAGGGGCCAAUUUGAUUGGAAGGAAGGUAGAAGAUUGGGAGCGUAUAUUAGACGAGUAUGAAAAUAUUCCCGAUAAAGAUAUCCAAAGGAUACUUCAAGUAAGCUAUGAUGCUUUGAAGGAAAAGGAUCAGAGUGUCUUUCUAGACAUUGCUUGUUGCUUCAAAGGGUGUAAAUGGACAAAGGUUAAAAAAAUACUUCAUGCUCAUUAUGGCCAUCCCAUAGAACAUCAUGUUGGAGUGUUGGCUGAAAAAUCUCUCAUAGGCCAUUGGGAAUAUGACACUCAUGUGACCUUACAUGACUUGAUAGAGGACAUGGGUAAAGAAGUCGUCCGACAAGAAUCUCCCAAGAAGCCUGGAGAACGCAGUAGGUUGUGGUUUCGCGAUGAUAUAGUUAACGUUUUAAGAGAUAAUACGGUAAAGAAAACUAAUAUUUAUGAACAAUUUGUUGUUUUAGCUUUAGCCAUGACCUUGAUCAUCCUGCCACCUCAUACUAGUGUUUUUUAUUCACUUAAUUACAUGUAUAUUACUCUAUAAUAUUUGUAUUAUGAUUUAUUCUUUUUUUAUUUUGUUAAAAGGGAACUGGGAAUAUUGAAAUGAUAUAUCUCAAAUAUGCCUUCACGGCAAGAGAAACAGAGUGGGAUGGAAUGGCUUGCGAGAAGAUGACAAAUCUCAAAACACUUAUCAUUAAAGAUGGUAACUUUUCAAGGGGUCCUGGGUAUCUUCCAAGUAGUUUGAGAUAUUGGAAAUGGAUAAGUAGUCCUUUGAAGUCUCUAUCUUGUAUUUCGAGCAAGGCAAGUGAAAUAGGUUCAUUUUUCAAUUGUGUAUAUUGAUAAUUCACUAUUAGAUUAUAAUUUUCAUUUCAACUUAUUUAAUUUGUUUUUUUAUGAAGGAGUUCAACUAUAUGAAAGUUAUGACAUUGGACGGUUCUCAAUAUUUAACCCAUAUACCCGAUGUCUCAGGUCUUCCAAAUCUAGAAAAGUGCUCCUUUCGAGGAUGUGAUAGUUUAAUUAAAAUUCACAGUUCGAUUGGACAUCUAAAUAAACUUGAAAUCUUAGAUACAUUUGGUUGCAGCGAACUUGAGCAUUUCCCACCCUUACAGCUGCCCUCUCUUAAGAAAUUUGAAAUCACUGAUUGUGUGAGUCUCAAGAAUUUUCCAGAAUUAUUAUGUGAGAUGACAAAUAUAAAAGAUAUUGAGAUAUAUGAUACUUCCAUAGAAGAAUUGCCAUAUUCAUUUCAAAAUUUCAGUAAACUUCAACGGUUAACAAUAUCUGGAGGCAACCUACAGGGAAAGCUCAGGUUCCCAAAAUAUAAUGAUAAAAUGAAUUCAAUAGUGAUUUCAAAUGUGGAACAUCUUAACCUCGCAGGCAACAGCCUCUCAGAUGAAUGUCUCCCAAUACUUCUCAAGUGGUUUGUUAAUGUGACAUUUCUAGAUUUAUCCUGUAACUACAAUUUCACAAUUCUUCCCGAGUGCCUUGGUGAAUGUCACUGUCUUAUGCAUCUUAAUUUGAUGUUUUGCUUGGCUCUUGUGGAAAUUAGAGGGAUUCCACCAAAUCUUGAAAUUCUUUUUGCAGUCAUUUGUUAUUCAUUGAGUUCCUCAAGUAUAAGAAUGUUAAUGAGUCAGGUUUGUUGUUUUUUUAUUGCACUAGUAUUUGACAUAUAGUAUUUCAGUUCAUAGUGUAAUUAUUAUUCUUUUUAUAUAAAUUAACAGAAACUACAUGAGUCUGGAUGCACCCAUAUUCUAUUCCCAAACACAACGGAUAGGAUUCCUGAUUGGUUUGAGCACCAAAGCAGGGGAGACACAAUUUCUUUCUGGUUUGAUAAAGAACUCCCUUCUAUUAGCUUUACUUUUAUUCUUAUUAGUCAGGGGGACUACAUGUUACCAAUAGUCAAAUUCUUUGUGAAUGGCUAUGAAAAAGAGAUAAGUUGCGACGAAUUGACUAGGGAAUUCGGUGAGCUAGUGGAUGAUGACACUGUGUUGGAGAACCAUACAACUUUGUUGCAUAUAAAAUUGGAACAAGAUAAUGAACUCGGUGAAAGACUUUUGAAAAAUGAAUGGAUCCAUGUGGAGUUUAAGUUACAGGAUUAUUAUUGGCACGCUGAGAGAAGAUUAUUCAGAAAUACGCAAAUGGGAAUCCACGUGUGGAAGGAGAAAAGCAACAUGGAGGGGGGUGUGAGAUUCAUUGAUCCUUCAUUAUCACAAUUUAUGCAAAGAUUGGUGGAAGUGGGAGUUUCAGAGAAAGGGGAGGAGGAGGAGGGUUUUAGUGACACGGAGGAGGAUGUAAUAUUGAAGAAUCCUAAUAAUAGAAAGACUUGGGGUACAUUCCUUAGUCUAGGUGCAUCAAAAAGCAACACGGAUGGGGAUGAGAUUGAAAUAUUAAGCAGUGCACAAGAUGAAAGAAAGAUGUGGGGUACAUUCCUCGGUUUAGGUCCAUCAUAAAGUUAACCGUCUUCUUGUUAUUCUCUCAAUCUCAACAUUGCAGGUUUGUGCUUUGAUGUUUAUACUUUGUAUAAAUGUUGAUUAAUUUCUGUAUGUAGUCAGUUACAAAUUCAAUGUUUCUAGUUGGAGAAGUUUCUUAAACCAUGAGACAUGAUGUAAGUUUCUGUGUGUCUAACACCGAUACAUGUAAUACUAUUAAACUAUAUUAUUAUCUCAAAGGACUACCAAUGUCAACGAAUCAGUGUCGGUGUCUAGUUCGGUAUCCAUGACUGUGCUGAUGCUUCAAAAUGUCGAAAUGAAAGUUCUGAGUUUGCAAGUGCUUAAAGGUCAACAAGUAGAUUGUCUUACCGUAACUAUACACAUUUCGUAAACUUGUAUUGAUCUCAUUAAUUAUGAUUCAAAUUAGAACUUUUAUCUCAUAUCUCAUCUAACUAAUGGCACAUGUUUUCAGUGUAACCUAUAAAUGUAUGGAUAAUUUAAGUAGUACAUGCAUUUUUAACUUUUUUGAUGAAAUUUAACGUGACUGCAAUUGAAACAUGAUACACAAUUGAUCAAAAUUCCACUAGCUUAUAAGCCCGCACGAGUUUUACAAUGAGCUAAAUGGUUUGUCGAAUAAUCAAUAUCGAUCUUAUCUGUUGCAGCAUAACUCUAUUGUGUUACCCAUCACAUCUAUUUGAAUGCUUGUUACCUUCAGAGAGGAGAAGCCAUAGCUAUCAAAUUGAAUUUUUAUUUAGCUAUUACAUAAGGAUGAUUCAGAGGCAUCAGAAUCCAUCUCUCGCGGCCUUCAGCUACAACCCUUUAGUCCAGAAAUUUUAGAAGGUGUGGUGUAAUUGAACGGAUCCAAGAUUAAUGUUGUUACAAGUAUGAUUCUUAUAUUUUUAAAGAAUAAAUGCUUUUAAUCAUAAUCUGAAAAAGAAAUUGAUUAUUAUGCCAAAGUAAUAUAUUUCUACAUUUGUCAGGAAACCAUUUGCAACUGCCUUUCUUUUUGCAUUGUCAUACGAGAUGUCUAGAGGUGGUGGUUCACACCACAAAAUUCGUUCAAAAGGGAAUCAGGUAAUCAUAUGCUUUGCAGCUCAGUUGUACUUUGGUGUUUCCACAUUGGGUAUGAAUUGAUCAUUUCACAUAAUCCUUCUACAGCUCGACAUAUUUCAUUUCGUUCUAACCAUGCCUUCCGCUGGUGAGGACUUAUGUUUAGAUUAUUUCUGUAAUGAUCAUGAAAUGUCCCUUCUCCCCAAAAAUGCGGCAAAAACAGUCGCUAUUUUGUGUUCUGACAUAGAUAUUUGGUAGAACUAAAGAUGGAACGGGAAGACUUGUUCUAUACUAAAAAAUUUAUAAUGAAAUGUGUCUACUGUUUAUUUUCUAGCUAUGUUCUAAGUUGUUGUUGAUUUAUUUAUGUAAAUGUGCAUACCAGGUCGAAACGACUAUGAAGUGCUGAGUUUCUCAAACUAAACUCUCCUUACUGGGGAAGGAGCUUUCAGGUCUGCAAGAAAUUAUGUGGGAUAAAGAAAUAAAUCCGAGAACCGACAUUCAUGAGAUCCUUUUGCAAGAGUCGUGACUUUUGUUCUCCAAAAUCCAAAUCAGCGUUCUUGGUGUAGUACUCAAUGUACAACUCUGGUUUUGAUAUGGUGAGACCUGAUGUAAUUUUUUAUGGAGGAUGUUUGUGCUGCAUAUAUUGUUUGAAUUCGAUUAUUUCAUUACUGUACAUUUAGAUGCAUGCAUUAGAUUAUAGAAUGAACACCAUUUUAGAAGUACAUGUAAAUUAUGGAGGCCAACCUUGGAUAAUGUAUAUUUGAAUGUUUUAUCUAAAUGUGUUCUGAAAAAGCCAAUAUCAGGAACUUUGAUCUUGCUAACUUUUGUUGUUCAAUGAUUGUUAUUGCACCAAUAUUUCUUAUGCUAAACUGACAGAAACUAUAUUUCUUAUGCUAACUUACAUGAGGAUAGAUGCACCAAUAUUUGUUUUCCAACAGGAACAGAGGGGAUUCCAGAUUGGUUAAAGCACCAAAUCACGGGACACAAUUUUUUUCUGGUUUCGUAAAUAAAUCCCUUCUAUAACUAGUAUUAUUAUUCCCUUUCUGGAUCCGUCCGAUUCAAAUGAGAAAGUAGUCAAUUUGUCUGUCAAAGGCUAUGAAAAAGUAGUCUGGAUUAAAUGAUGUGAUCUGAAGCUGUCACUAGCAGAGUGCAGUAACAGUAAACUAUGGCCAACACUGCAGAGUGCAGUGUGGCAUGACUAGAAGAGAGAGGAGUCAAGGAAAAGUUAUUUCUGUUAUUCACUCGGAACCAUUAGUACUUUCAAAAUUCUACAGAUCUAAAAUAUAAGCCAGACCAUAUGCAUUAUACAGAAUAGAACUCUCAUUUUAUCGGAUGAAAUUUUUCGGUAUCCACAUAUGAUGCAUGUCCUGAGCAAACCUGCAUUCUUUUUUUUUUUUAAUGCAAAAUAAUCACUAACAUAUCCACUUGUUGAUUUGUUGCAAAUAGCUUAAAGUGGUUCUGUAAUAAAGU